CAUGGAGGGGAAUCUACGAGAGUCAGCUUUGAGCUGACAAUUCUCAGUUAGAGGAAAGCUGCGGGGGAAGAGGGGCAAAGGGUCAGAGCAAUCACUACUGAGUGGGAGCCCCAUUCUGUCCAGAAGAGUUGAGGCUGUAAGACUCAAGAGGAAAACUAAAGUAGGGGCUUCUGGGAUUGCCAGUAUGGUGGAAAGUCUACCCUCUCCUGUCUCCAUCUUUCCAAUGACCAUACAAACCACAUCUGGAUGUUGCUCCAUCUGCAGCUCCUUGACUGCAGAAGGACUGUAGAAGGACUGGAAUAUGGGUGUCAUUUGAAGCCCUAACAGGCUCAUGUCAAAGACCUGUGUGGAAGAUUCCAGAGAUCUUGUCCUCAAGAGAGCUUCGAGAAGGUAAUGGAGUCCCCAGCCAUGAAUGUGACCUGCAGCAUGGCUGUGGAAGGCAUCAACAGCAUCACGUUUGGGUCUCCAACAUCCAACCUGGGAAUCCCUCUCUGACCUGCACCCUAUGUAGGAAGCCCUUAGCAUAGACAUACAGCCUGAACGUGUCUUGCUCUAUUAGAAUAGGAUCAACAAGAUCUGAAUGGCCACUGGGGUUCCCAAAGAGAGGAGCUGGUGCAGUUGCCAUGUGGACUGCAGUGAAGGAAGCGGAGAAGGCCCUGGUAUUCUGGUACCGGCGCUUCAGAGCUUGGGCUCUGUGCCUGGUCAUCAGGGUGCCUGCUUUUAAGAUUCUUCUGUGCGGCCUUUAGUACAAGAGAAAGAAGACAGUAUCAGCUGCAGAAAGGAUUUUACAAAGUUCACUGCAAACAGAAAACUCGGUAGUCAGAGGAAGUAAUCAGUGACCAUUAUUCCAGGCCUCUGGUUUGAGGGGACAAAGGAUGAUCAAGAAUUUACAAGUUGCUGCUGCUGCUGCUGCUGCUGUUAUCUGAGCUUCUCAAACACCAGAAGACAUUGAUGAAACAGCUAUAUCCAGCCUACUACACACUUAGAGCCACAAAGAUGGGAUUCCCUUCACUCUCAAGCUCUCAUGCACAGUUGUACAGAGAGGUUCCUUCUUUAAAAUUUCAACUCUCAUCCCAAGGCCUUGUUAAAUAUUCUUGAAGGUGUUAAGAAUAAAAUUUAACAAAUUUUUUU
This is a long non-coding RNA of Mastomys coucha (southern multimammate mouse), 1131 nucleotides long. RefSeq lists it as uncharacterized. The transcript is spliced from 2 exons. NCBI's taxonomy places the organism in Eukaryota, Metazoa, Chordata, Mammalia, Rodentia, Muridae. The record is from RefSeq and is a predicted model, not a curated record.